This 1877-nucleotide long non-coding RNA is filed under the name Homo sapiens (human). RNAcentral's name for it is "uncharacterized CTB-1I21.1, transcript variant 4 (CTB-1I21.1)". The record is from RNAcentral. Lineage: Eukaryota; Metazoa; Chordata; Mammalia; Primates; Hominidae.
AGGGCAAUGGCUCAUCCUAGGGCUGAGAAGGAAAGAGAGGCUGCUUCUACCAGGUUCUCCAUCCUGCAACACAAGGCUUUGGUAUCAGGAUGCUGCUGGCCUCAUCAAAUGAGUUAGGGAGGAUUCCCUCUUUUUCUAUUGAUUGGAAUAGUUUCAGAAGGAAUGGUACCUGCUCCUCUUUAUACCUCUGGUAGAAUUCGGCUGUGAAUCCGUCUGGUCCUGGACUUUUUUUGGUUGGACAGCAGUUGGUUGACAUUUAAAGGGCUACUGUCCCAGAAGGCUGCUUGCCUGGGCCCAUGGCACUGCCAGAAAUCACAAGACUAAGCUGAAAAAGCACAAAGAAGUUUCCUUUCAUUCCAGGAACCUCUUGGCUUGAAUAUGAAAUAGCCUCUUAGUGACACUACACUGCAAUUUCAAAUAAUAGGUUUUUUAUCACCUCUUUGAGAAAUAUCACCUUGGGUUCAUCCCAGAAAAAUAAUACAAAGUAGAAUUUUUUCAAACGUAAUCCCCUUGGGUUCCUCUCAGAAAAAAAUAGAAAGUAGAAUUCUUUCAAACUUAAUCCCCUCUUUGUAUUUGUCUCCUCUGCAUCUCUCCAAAGUAGAUGGGUAGGAGAGGGAAACAGUGCUGUAGAAAAUGGGACAAGAACACACCCUAAUAAAACAAGAAAACAUGGUUUGCCAGAGGUCUCCUUUCCCAGGCUCAAGCCUCAAGUUUCUAAUUGUCCCUACAUUACUCCCACAAAUGCCUUUCUGGGAGAGUCUUGUAUGCUAGACCUCUGCCAUCUUCCCAUCCUUUCUCCCUUCCUCCUAACCUUCACUCUUGAGAAAGACUCAUCCUGGCUUCUGUGUCCAUAGAACCUUGAAGCAGCUUUCUGGUGAGGAGGUGAGCUACUUCCUGCAAAACUACUAGUAGCUGCUAUUGAUUAAUGUAUUCUUCCAACCAGGUAAUGUAUUCCUGUUCCAACAGAAGUCUUCUUGAGACAUAUCUGAAAGUGACAUAGUAACCAGAAGGAAGAUUUUUGGAGGGUUCUUGAACUAGCUCUACAUAGGAAACUGCCAACAAUAACUUCCUGUGGCAUUUGUUAAGUUGUGAUUCUGCCCCUCACUGCUUGACUUAGUCCUCUUGACAAGGGCCAGGAGGAGAAAACAGGUCUCAAAGAACAGUGUACAUCAAAGCCUGGCUUUCCAGCAAUGCCUGACCCUGCCAAAGAAGGCAGGGAAGCCCCCACAGAGCCUCUUAGAAACCUCAACUCCCUCAGCCUCUUGUCCCAGAGCAUCACUGGCAGGUAUAGACCAAGCAUAUCCACAUCCACACUUCUGGAGGCUGAGAAGUUCAAGAUCAAGGAUUCAGGAGGUUUGGUUGUCUGGUGAGGGCUGGUCUCUGCUUCCAAGAUGGCACUUUGAUGCUGUGUCCUCCAGAGGAGAGAAAUGCUGUGAUCUCACCUGGUGGAUGGCACAAGGCCCAACUGUCACUGAGGAGGGGAAGACCCAGGAAGAAAGGUCAAAAGUCAAGCAAAUUGCCUCACUAUCCUCUCAAGUCCUUCAGAGCCUCAGGAUCCCCUGUGGACCCUGGAAGUUUUCCCCCAUCUUACUCAGGUCACUCCUUUCUCCGAGACCUUCUAAACUUUGAGGAAACUAAGAGACCUGGCCCUAAGCAUAGAUGGGACAGGAUGGUGUAAAUGUGCAACACAAACCAGCAAGACACAGGUACUCUCCUCUACCUUCCCUGCAGAGCAAACAGUGUUGACAGCAGUGAAGAUGAUGAUAAUGAUGACAACUGCAGUGUUUUGGAGAGCAAAUACCUAGGGCCAGCUAUUUUACAGAUAUCCUUAUGUUACUAUCCAAAGAAACUUUAUAAAGAGACGAUGGAAAAUCACA